RNAcentral lists this ribosomal RNA (429 nucleotides) under uncultured Geobacillus sp. Its description in RNAcentral is "bacterial SSU rRNA". It matches the Rfam family "Bacterial small subunit ribosomal RNA", at positions 952 to 1382 of the family's 1533-position model. Lineage: Bacteria; Bacillati; Bacillota; Bacilli; Caryophanales; Anoxybacillaceae. The record is from RNAcentral.
CGAUGCAACGCGAAGAACCUUACCAGGUCUUGACAUCCCCUGACAACCCAAGAGAUUGGCGUUCCCCUUCGGGGGACAGGGUGACAGGUGGUGCAUGGUUGUCGUCAGCUCGUGUCGUGAGAUGUUGGGUUAAGUCCCGCAACGAGCGCAACCCUCGCCUCUAGUUGCCAGCAUUCGGUUGGGCACUCUAGAGGGACUGCCGGCGACAAGUCGGAGGAAGUGGGGAUGACGUCAAAUCAUCAUGCCCCUUAUGACCUGGGCUACACACGUGCUACAAUGGGCGGUACAAAGGGCUGCGAACCCGCGAGGGGGAGCGAAUCCCAAAAAGCCGCUCUCAGUUCGGAUUGCAGGCUGCAACUCGCCUGCAUGAAGCCGGAAUCGCUAGUAAUCGCGGAUCAGCAUGCCGCGGUGAAUACGUUCCCGGGCCUU